AUUUAUGGAAAAUGUCUUACCGAAUUGGAAGCCGUAAGUCAUUUUCCCUUCUCUUUUCCCUUCCUCUCUGUCCAUCAUCUCUGUCCAUUGUUCUUUCUCUUCGUUGGCCUCACUAUCAUCAGCAACCACAGUCGAGAAAAGAAGAUCCAGAAGGUUACCUUCUCUUCAUUGAAGAUUUUUGAAGUGCUUGUACUGAAAUUGUUCGUAUUGAACUGCGAUUGUAAGUGUUAGCUAAGUGGCCUAAUAAAUCAAGGGGGAAAAUGAAAAAGAAGAUUCUAAACCUUUGAUUCAAAUCUGGGUUCUUCAUGUUGUUUGGUGGUUUUCUAGAACUGGGUUCUCUUCACUGGGGGCUUGCUACAACUUUCCAGGGAGAAUUGGGUGUUCAAAUCUAAGAUAAAAUGGGUUGCAUUAUUUGUAUUGACUCUAUCUUUGGCAUCGUUGGUUGCUCAUCUUUCAAUGACAGUUUUCAAGUAUGAAUUUAGUCCAGUAUAGUGGAAAAUAGGCUUUAAGCCAUGAUUUUCCUAAUACUGGAUCACCAGUAAGUUAUCUAUAUUUUCGGAUUUGAGGAACAAAUGCUUUUUCUUCAUCUGUUUGCUUGUAUAAUUUGUUCAUUUGAUGCUGUUUAUUUGUUCCUAAGUUGAAGACUAGAAGAAAUAAAAGGCUAUGGGGUGCUGUGAGGUCUCUGGAAUCUUUGCAACCACAUGCAAACCCCAGAAGUAGCUAUCCUGGCAAAGGGUUUUGCUCAAACUACUUAAUUAUGUAGUUAUGCUUUUAUACUGCCAAAAAACCUAAUGCUGCUUUAGCUAAUGCCCUUUAUCAAAAAGGUCCGGUUUUGUUAUCUGUUGAACUGGUUAAUGAUAUUAGGAAUUCAGGCCUUAGUUUCACUGAAGAUUUGAUUUGUGUUUUGAUUGGUAGUUGGGGAAGAUUAGGAUUAGCUAAGUAUUGUGCUGAGAUAUUUGGCCAGAUUUCAUUUUUGGGUAUUAAUCCUAGCACUAGAUUGUAUAAUGCUGUGAUUGAUGCGUUAAUAAAAUCCAAUUCACUUGAUUUAGCCUA
This is a long non-coding RNA of Gossypium raimondii (Peruvian cotton), 1053 nucleotides long. RefSeq lists it as uncharacterized. The record is from RefSeq and is a predicted model, not a curated record. The transcript has 3 exons. Lineage: Eukaryota; Viridiplantae; Streptophyta; Magnoliopsida; Malvales; Malvaceae.